CAAACGGACCCAUCAGCAGUUCUAGAAUAAUCCGUCUUCAAUUUUUCACACCCCAAAUGCAAAAUUUAAAACUCACUCUAUGCCCAAACAUAUAAUUCUACAAGCUUCACGUCUUCCCUCCCUCUUGUUCCAACAACUAUGAAUCCAUUCGCAGGUCUUCAUGAUUUCAGGUUGUGCUUGCUACUCGAUUAUUCUCCAAAACAAAACAACCUUCAGUUCUCCUUCAACUUUCAAGAAUACUUAAGAAUGUCCUCUUUCAGCUCAUCACUGUUGGCGACAACAAAAGUGAGUUAUUUAAUUGGUACGUGACCGUUAGGAAUCAUGGUUAUGCAAGGCUUCCAUGCCUCCAACUCUUCCAUUUGGACUCACAUGGACGGUUUAAUAUAUUAAUCCUUCCAAUAUUAAUUCAAUGAUCAAGGUAAGUAGUCUAAUUCAUUUGUUGUGGUAUGUUAAAUGUUAUUUCUAACUUCAUCGUAAUUUCACAGCUAACAUAAUGACAGUUUAGAUAUUUUGUCUACCUUUAAUGAAUUAGAAACAACUAUUCCUUGUUGUUCUUGUUCUUGGUGAUAUUCUGAGGCCUAUAAAAGGAAGGAAUUUGAAACUUUUUAUUGAAAAAAUAGCCUUCGUUACUUUAAUGUGAUUUUUUUUUGGCUAUUUUCAGCAAAAUCUUUUAUUGAAAGUUCUCUUCUCACCCUUUUGUUUCAGGCAAAAGAUCUUAGAAAAAUAGAGAAAAUCUAGCAAAAUGUAGUGAACUAUAGUUUUCUUUCAACUUAAUUUCCUUAAACUUUUGGUUGCUAUGUUUUUUUCGUUUUUUAAUUUUCUUUGAAAGAUAUAUUGUGUGUAAAAUGUCUAUUAGGAUUAGAUAACAAUGAUUACGGAAUUCAUGUACAUUAGACUUAUUUUUGAAUAUUUUUAAAAAUCCCUUCAAAUAUAUUGUUAAUACCCAAUCUAAUAUUUUUUAUGGAUGAAUAAAAUAAACUCUUUUUUCAUCUCCUGUCAAUUUUUUUUCAUUCACUCUUCUUUGUAAAUAUAUUUGAUAAAAACAUCAUAGCUAUAGAUAAAUGAUAAUUUCAUAGUUAUAGAUGAUCAUGUUUUUGAAAUACUCUUUUCAAAGUUAUUGCAUUUAUUCUUUCUAAAUGUAGAACAAUUUGAUUUGUGUUAACCGUAUUGUUUGACUUAAUAGUAAUCAUCUUAGUAAAGAGAUGGUUCAAUGGUUUGUCCACUGUUUUGAUUCGAUAAGAAAGAAAUUUGAAUUUACAAUGUUUUUUGCCCAGUGUUGUGAAAAGCGCAGAAAAGCGCGCUUCAAAGCGAGGCGACCCUUGUGCGCUUUUUUAUCUUGAGGCGAGGCGAUCUGAAAAAAGCUCUCGCUUCAGAUGAAGAAGCGAGAAGCGACCCUAAGGCAAAAACACAAUAAAGCGCGCUUUUUAUAAAAAAAAAGCGACAAUUAGGAUUUUUUUUAAAAAAAAUCUGAAAUAUAACCUUCUCUCUCCUCACGACUCUUCUUUCACGACUCUUUCCCUUCUUUCUCUCCUCGCGACUCUUCUUUCACAAUACUUCUUUCCCUUCUUUCUCUCCUGACGAUCUCGACUGAGGCUGCCUCUCUCUUCAACCUCGACCGCGACUGUAGGUAACUUUUUGUUCAUCUCUUUUUUAGCUAAUGUUUAUUAGUUCAUCUCUAUGAGUUUCUUUUCUCAUGAAAUAUACAAUCUUUGUCUGUGCUUCAUCUCUUCAUCUCUCUGAGUUUCGACUACUCUAGUUUUUUCUUCUUCUUCUCUUCUUUUCUUCCUGCCUGCUCUGUUUCUAAUUACUGACUGCUGCCUCUGUUUUUUUUUCAAUUCUUUUGCUUUUUUUAUUUUAUUUUGUGAUCAGUCUAGCAGCCUUGUUGAAGAAUAGGAGUUUGAAUCGUUGUGAUUUAAUUAUGUUUUUGAUUUUUUGCUUUAUAUGUUAUGACUCAUGAGUAUUUUUGCCUAUGUAAUUUCGUUCAAUAUAAGACUAUUAGCUCUAUUUAGUUAUUUAAUUUUUUUACUUUUAUACUAAAUGUCGCUUUUUUUUAAAAAAGCGAGCGCUUCGCUUCACGCUUCUGUGAAGCAAGCCCUCGUCACUUUUUUCCGCUUCUCGCUUCCCAAAACACUGAUUUUGCCUUGACAAGAUGAACCAACCCCAGCCUUUUUACUCCCAGGCACACAAAGUUGUUGAUGGAUCUCUUCUUAGUCUCAGCUGAGAUCUUUGAUUGUAUGCAUUCACAGAGUCUGUCGAGAACAAGGUAUUUAUAAUUACAUGUAAGUUUGACCUAUGCACAACUAAUGUUUUCUUGAACAAAAAUAAGUAAGGGGGUGUUCAUUGAAAACUUCCAUCAUAUUUUUGCAUUAGUCUAUUAGUUUGAUUUUUUUUCCCACAAACUAUAUGAUUGUGAAUUUCUGAAAGCUGAAUGAAUAAUGAAUAACAGUUUCUUGUUUUUUUUUAUCACUUCUGUUAUGAUAAAUUGAUAAUAUGGAUGACAAUAUUAUUGUACAUAUUUCAGGUAAAAUCAAUAAAUCGAAUCAAAAGAUGUUAUUGAUUUAUCGAUAUUGUGUUUUUGAUGUAAUAGACUAAUAGUGCAGAACGAUUUAGCGUUAUUGGACUUUAGGGUUAUCGAUUUGUCCUAUUUCUCCUAGGAGUUGUUUGGUGUGAGGUAUAAGGAAUUUUAGGGAUAAAAUGCAUGCAUGAUUAUUUUAUCUUGCAUUUGGUUGGAUGUUCUGGACUACUUAUCCAACACUUUAUACCUUAGUGAUGAGAUAAGACUUGACUCGAGAUAAAUAAUUCUGGGAUAACUUCUUUCCAACCAAACGACCCUUAGCGGUUUAACCUAUAACCGGAUAAACUUAUUAUAAUAAAAAAUCCAUUAAAUUAUAAGUUAAUGCUUCCAAAUAAGCUAAUUAGACAUAGCUUUCUAAUGUUGCAAAGUUCUGUUUCACCUAUAAUUAGCAUCUACCAUAAAAAGCUUCUUAUAAUGAUAAGUUAGUACAUCUAACAUCUAGGAUACCAGUAACCUCGAUAAUUUUAAAAUCACUAUCCAAUAUUAAUUUGUAUGUAUCACUAUAUGAUCCAUUACUAAAUUAAUGAUAAGAAAUUCUUACAAAUUAUCUUUUGUGUGAGGUUAACAUAUAUGUGAGUUGAAGAGCUCACACUUUCUAUUACUGGACAACCAUCUUUUUAUCUUAGAAAUAUGGUGAUCUAUGGUGUAUUCUUGAUUCUUAUAUUAAUUCUACUGAUAUGCAAUAACUUCAGAGAAAUUUGAUGCCCUCAUUGCAUAACUUUGAAUUUUAGACAAAUGCUUAGUGAACACACUUAGCAUGUCAGUAGUUCAACAUUUUCGAGCUUACACAAGGCAUCCUUAAAUUUGAUGUUUUCUUGAUAACUAGCUCUUCUUUUAAAUUUGAUGUCAUUAGUUAAUACUUACUCAAUAGACUCAAGAUAAACUUUAUAAAUGGUUGGUCUGAGAUAACAAUUUGUGUAACUCCCUCCUAUUAAUGCUUCAUAAAUUACUGUAAGUUAAUUUAUUUGUGAUUUAAUUGUGAAUUGCUUCUACAUAUAUGGUCUAAGGCAUAAGUUCCUCGGCACGUAAUAACUUUCUGUUUCUACACCAAAUUAAGAUCAUCAGUGUCUUUAUGUCUAUCAUUUUCUCUGACAUGAUAUUUUAAUGGGUGCCUAGUUUUCAACAAGAACUAAAUUAGACUUCAUGUUCUUUUUGAUUUUUUUUUGAGGUAUCAUUUUGUGGGUUGCAGCAAAUUAUGACGAAUACUACUAUUUCCCAUUACAAAUUUGGUGCUCUUUUUAAAUGUGAUCAGAUUAUAUGAUGCUGAUAAUUUACCGAGCACAUAUAGCUUCGUGGAUUUAAGAGAUGCAUCUACAACAACUCUCUUCUCUAUUUCUUAUACAGCGGAAAUCAUGUGAGGGAAAACUUUAUUCGCAAAAAGGUUGAUCAAAGUAUGUCGAUUGUUCGGCAUAAGGACUGUUGAAGACAAAGCAGAUGGAGUAGAAAUAUUCACUCUUCAGUCCUAUGGAAAGUUUUGUUCAACUCAACAUUAUUUUUUAAUGAUGUAUUAUUUCAUUUAUAUUGCAAAAUUAUAUCUAUAAAUAUUUGAAUUUAUGUUGUCAAUAAAUGAUGUUAAUUUUGAAGGUACUCUCCUUGAUUGAGGGCUGAUAACAAUAUAUGAUUGUUAUUUGGUAUUGACGGUAUUUGCACAUUUAAGAAAUAGAUAUAGCAUUAUGUUCAUCUA
Non-coding RNA from Solanum lycopersicum (tomato), 4259 nucleotides. The record is from RefSeq and is a predicted model, not a curated record. NCBI's taxonomy places the organism in Eukaryota, Viridiplantae, Streptophyta, Magnoliopsida, Solanales, Solanaceae.